UACGGAGGGUGCAAGCAUUGAUCGGAAUUACUGGGCGUAAAGGGCGCGUAGGCGGCAAGAUAAGUCAGAUGUGAAAUUCCGGGGCUCAACCCCGGAGCUGCAUUUGAAACUAUCUAGCUAGAGUACAGUUAGGGAAAACAGAAUUCCACGUGUAGCGGUGAAAUGCGUAGAUAUGUGGAAGAAUACCGGUGGUGAAGACGGUUUUCUGGGCUGUAACUGACGCUGAGGCGCGAGAGCUAGGGGAGCAAACAGG
This 253-nucleotide ribosomal RNA is filed under the name uncultured bacterium. RNAcentral's name for it is "partial 16S ribosomal RNA". It matches the Rfam family "Bacterial small subunit ribosomal RNA", at positions 524 to 776 of the family's 1533-position model. The record is from RNAcentral.